Notechis scutatus (mainland tiger snake) is the source of this 164-nucleotide non-coding RNA. The record is from RefSeq and is a predicted model, not a curated record. Lineage: Eukaryota; Metazoa; Chordata; Lepidosauria; Squamata; Elapidae.
AGGGGUGGGAUUCAGAUUUUUUAACAACCAGUUCUGUGGGUGUGGCUUAGUUGGUGGGCAUGGCUUGGUGGUCAUGUGACUGGCUGGGCAUGGCCAACUCAGCAUCACUCACAUCGGGGCACGCAUCUCACCUGGCGUCAGUCGUAACUGUGGGGAUGCUGGAA